RNAcentral lists this ribosomal RNA (497 nucleotides) under uncultured bacterium. RNAcentral's name for it is "partial 16S ribosomal RNA". It matches the Rfam family "Bacterial small subunit ribosomal RNA", at positions 28 to 507 of the family's 1533-position model. The record is from RNAcentral.
GAUGAACGCUGGCGGCGUGCCUAAUACAUGCAAGUCGAGCGAACGGACGAGAAGCUUGCUUCUCUGAUGUUAGCGGCGGACGGGUGAGUAACACGUGGAUAACCUACCUAUAAGACUGGGAUAACUUCGGGAAACCGUAGCUAAUACCGGAUAAUAUUUUGAACCGCAUGGUUCAAAAGUGAAAGACGGUCUUGCCGUCACUUAUAGAUGGAUCCGCGCUGCAUUAGCUAGUUGGUAAGGUAACGGCUUACCAAGGCAACGAUGCAUAUCCGACCUGAGAGGGUGAUCGGCCAAACUGGAACUGAGACACGGUCCAGACUCCUACGGGAGGCAGCAGUAGGGAAUCUUCCGCAAUGGGCGGAAGCCUGACGGAGCAACGCCGCGUGAGUGAUGAAGGUCUUCGGAUCGGAAAACUCUGUUAUUAGGGAAAAACAUAUGUGUAAGUAACUGUGCACAUCUUGACGGUACCUAAUCAGAAAGCCACGGCUAACUACGUU